UGAAAGAAAAGCAUCCCAGCUGUCCACCAUCAAAUGAAAACAUGGAGAGAAUUGAUCUUCAGUUCUUUUAUUUUCCAAACAGCAUUCUUACUGCAGAGAUAUUGUAAGAACUGAAUUUCCAUGUAUCCAUUUCUGUUUCCUUUUGUUUUAUGAAAAAUGUUAUGUCAUAGUUGCGCUGGAUCUGCUUUAAGAAAAAAAAUGACACCAUGCAGUGGCCGGUUUAUGGACUGUUCACUCCUGGCCAUCAAAAUAUGUCAUUUCAGCAGUUUAUUAUUUUUCAAAAAAGAACAAAUUCCUGCAGGCUGCUUUUACCCACCUGAGCAGGAGUUUCCAUCAAAACUAUUAUAAUCUUCUCUUCUCCAUAUGCCUUUUUGGUAGGAUUGGACUUCUUUUCCAUCUUUUCUACACAAGCAUCAGCCUGCAUAUGCACUUGUUACUCGAGGGAUUUUGUGUUGAGAGAGAGAGAAAGAGAGAGAAUGUGGAUGCUGGGCUGCUUAUGUGUAUAAUAAGUGUUGAUCAGUUUGUGACAUGAACUUGUGAUCUAUCCCAUUCUCAUUCAUCCUACAUAAUGCUCUUUAGAAAUAUCGAUCAGCCUAUUGUAGUACAUCAAUUGAAAUUAUUGGUGGAAACAGUUUGAGACCCGCAAAGUUAGACACAAAGCUGAUCAUCAUCAUUUAUAGGAUGCUGUCUAUUGCCAUUUGACCAUGGCAAUUAUCUUUAAGACUUGCAUGUUGACUAGGCAUCAGAUAUUUGUUUUAAGUAGCUAUGACAAACUUGAUUCUCAAGACCUGUUACUUGAAGCAUGCCUAUUAGGAGAAUCAUCUACUCUUAAAGAAAUAGAAUAACACAUUCGUAAGCAUUUAUUGACAUUUCUUCGUCUCUUCCGGCUGUGUUUUUUCACAUCAUACAGAUAUGUUGAAGUAUUUAGUCAUCGAUUAAAAUUUUGGUGAGAGUUUCACUUGCAAUAGUCUGUAUUUCUGGGUGC
This 985-nucleotide long non-coding RNA is filed under the name Manihot esculenta (cassava). Its description in RNAcentral is "long non-coding RNA (MESC_LNC000781)". The record is from RNAcentral. Lineage: Eukaryota; Viridiplantae; Streptophyta; Magnoliopsida; Malpighiales; Euphorbiaceae.